RNAcentral lists this small RNA (519 nucleotides) under Drosophila pseudoobscura pseudoobscura. RNAcentral describes it as "GA31770". The record is from RNAcentral. Lineage: Eukaryota; Metazoa; Arthropoda; Insecta; Diptera; Drosophilidae.
GGGAACUUUGUUUUUUCUUUUCGUCUCUUUGGCGCCUGCGUCGGCAGAACUUUGUUGCUUUUUUCGCUUUGCGUGGGCGCAAGAGAGUAAGCAACAAUUAGCGCUGUGAUUUAUUGAAAAAUCUAUAAAUUAUCUAUUAUUAUCAGUAUGGAAAAUACACCCACGCAAAAAAUGAAGCGCUUUAUCUUGGAUGCAGAGCAACCUAUGCCAAAGGAACAGCCAAUAUCGCGUAAUAAAUUGGCUAACUAAAAUCAAAAAUUGACGUUCUAACGGAAGCUGUGGCGGAGGCGGUGACCCUUAUUAUAUUGCAAGAUAAAAAAAAUUACGGAACCUAGUGGGGACGAGACCAUCUAUGUCCAACUGCCUAAGAAAUGUGCUGCACGAGAGGCUGAUGUUGGCGUAUUAUUUGGAUGAAGCCUCGGAAGAAGUUUCAAGAAAUCGGCGGUAAAGUUGAAGAAUGAAAGAUCAAAAAACCCAGAUGAAUAUUAAAUUUUCUUGAAUUUAACAGAUUGAAAAACA